Molecule: long non-coding RNA, 1087 nt
Organism: Oryzias melastigma (Indian medaka)
Lineage: Eukaryota; Metazoa; Chordata; Actinopteri; Beloniformes; Adrianichthyidae
Exons: 2
Source: RefSeq, a predicted model, not a curated record
AUCGGUUUCCCUGGAAACUUUGCUAUGGCAACGAAUACAUCUGUCUAAAAUAGGAUGGGCGCAUGACUCCAUUGAUCUGCAGGACAACAAGGAGGAGGGAAAAAAACACAAUUCGCCUGAUUCAAGACUUUGGGAGCUUAAGUGCCAUGACAGCUGUGGAUGGAGAGCUUUUGUUUUCACAGGAGGACGGCUCGACAUCUCCGUCCGCUCCAAAGUCUCGGAACAUCAGAAGAGCAGGAACGAGCCUCUCUGACGGGUUGUUCUGGUUGGGUUUACUUGCUCCAACGUUUGUAGCAGCAGAAGAAAAGAUGAUGGUGGAGGAGUCCAGGAGCUCAGGGUUUCUUCAGGAUCGCUCCAGUCGGCUUCAUUAGGAUCAACAAAGUUGUAUCUUCUUUCACUCCAGUCUAACUUAUUGCUGCCAUCCAUCUUUAUUUCCAGCCAACCCGUUUCCAUCCCUCAACCUUCGUUGCCUUGGAUACUACUACAGAUGACCCCCUCUAAUCAUUUUUUCCUUCAUCUCUGCUUUUGCUCGCCAAGUUUCUCACUAGAGAUCUCUGCAGGCGGAGUGAAGGCCACCGUGACCCCCCCCCACCCGGGACACGGACACGUCCUCAAACAUCUGUCUUCAGUCCAGCUGCCGUCUUUCAACCGGAUCUGAAAGCGUUUUCCGUAGCAGCGAAAGCCGCGGAGGGAGAAGCAAUUCAGCAAAUGCCAGCACCAUUCCAGAGCCUCGCUUUUCUGCUUCAGCGGACUGGCAUUUGGAAUGGACACACGCAGGGCAAAAGGUCAGGCCCAUCACAGCAGGACGCAAAUUUGAUGGACUCCACGGAAAACGUGGGAUAAUCCUGAGAGGCCGGCGGGACGGCAGGUUAUUGGAGGAGGAGCGGGAGGCCGCCUGGCGCUCUCGAAGUUAGCCUGAAGCACCAAAAUAGAAGAUUCUGUUGGACCAAACCUUCUCUGUGGCAGAUUGCAGAUUAAUGACUUUCAUUUUGGAACCGCCACAGAUGGUGUCGGGAGAAAUAAGAAUAUGGAGAUAAUCGCAUAACAGAGUUUCAGCGGCUCAGAACAAACCGCCAGUUUAUCCAAA